CCUACGGGAGGCAGCAGUGGGGAAUUUUGGACAAUGGGCGCAAGCCUGAUCCAGCCAUGCCGCGUGUGGGAAGAAGGCCUUCGGGUUGUAAACCACUUUUGUCAGGGAAGAAACGGCUCUUACUAAUAUUAGGGGCUAAUGACGGUACCUGAAGAAUAAGCACCGGCUAACUACGUGCCAGCAGCCGCGGUAAUACGUAGGGUGCAAGCGUUAAUCGGAAUUACUGGGCGUAAAGCGUGCGCAGGCGGCUUUGCAAGACAGAUGUGAAAUCCCCGGGCUCAACCUGGGAACCGCAUUUGUGACUGCAUGGCUAGAGUACGGUAGAGGGGGAUGGAAUUCCGCGUGUAGCAGUGAAAUGCGUAGAUAUGCGGAGGAACACCGAUGGCGAAGGCAAUCCCCUGGACCUGUACUGACGCUCAUGCACGAAAGCGUGGGGAGCAAACAGGAUUAGAUACCCUGGUAGUCCACGCCCUAAACGAUGUCAACUGGUUGUUGGACGGCUUGCUGUUCAGUAACGAAGCUAACGCGUGAAGUUGACCGCCUGGGGAGUACGGCCGCAAGGUUGAAACGUUAAAGGAAGUUGACGG
Molecule: ribosomal RNA, 587 nt
Filed under: uncultured bacterium
Lineage: Bacteria
Description: bacterial SSU rRNA
Rfam family: Bacterial small subunit ribosomal RNA
Source: RNAcentral